GCCGUCGGUUGAUGAGCUGAAUGGUAAAGUGAAGGAGUUAGCAUCUACAGUUAGUGGUGUGGUGGAAGAUGUUGAGCACGUUAGAAAGGAUAUCAAUCAGAAGGUGAUGCGGGAGGUCCCGGGUUCGAUCCCCAGCGGCGGCA
RNAcentral lists this transfer RNA (143 nucleotides) under Perkinsus olseni. RNAcentral's name for it is "tRNA-Ala". Lineage: Eukaryota; Perkinsozoa; Perkinsida; Perkinsidae. The record is from RNAcentral.